GACGAACGCUGGCGGCGUGCUUAACACAUGCAAGUCGAACGGAAAGGCCCUGCUUUUGUGGGGUGCUCGAGUGGCGAACGGGUGAGUAACACGUGAGUAACCUGCCCUUGACUUUGGGAUAACUUCAGGAAACUGGGGCUAAUACCGGAUAGGAGCUCCUGCUGCAUGGUGGGGGUUGGAGAGUUUCGGCGGUUGGGGAUGGACUCGCGGCUUAUCAGCUUGUUGGUGGGGUAGUGGCUUACCAAGGCUUUGACGGGUAGCCGGCCUGAGAGGGUGACCGGCCACAAUGGGACUGAGAUACGGCCCAGACUCCUACGGGCGGCAGCGGUGGGGAGUAUUGCACAAUGGGCGGAAGCCAGAUGUAGCAACGCCGCGUGCGGGAUGACGGCCUUCGAGUUGUAAACCGCUUUCUCCGGUGACGAGGCGUGAGUGACGGUAAUGGGUAAAGAAGCACCGGCUAACUACGUG
RNAcentral lists this ribosomal RNA (468 nucleotides) under uncultured bacterium. Its description in RNAcentral is "partial 16S ribosomal RNA". It matches the Rfam family "Bacterial small subunit ribosomal RNA", at positions 28 to 507 of the family's 1533-position model. The record is from RNAcentral.